GAUGAACGCUGGCGGCGUGCUUAACACAUGCAAGUCGAGCGAAAAGACGCGGCGCUUGCUCGGCGGACGUUAGCCGAGGACGUGUGAGUAACGCGAGGAUCCCCUACUUGAAAGUGUGAGAUCAUUAGGGAAAUGGGGAGAUAAUACGAGAGAAGAUAUUGAACCACAUGGUGCAAUGGUGAGUGACGGUGUUGCUGUCUCUAAUAGAUGGAUCCGCGCCGGAUUGGCUAGUUGGUAAGGUAAAGGCUUACCAAGGCUACGAUGCGUGGCCGAGCUGAGAGGAUGAUCGGCCACACUGGAACUGAGACACGGACCAGACUCCUACGGGAGGCAGCAGUAGGGAAUGUUGGACAAUGGGCGAAAGCCUGACCCAGCAACGCCGCGUGCGUGACGAAGGCCUUCGGAUCGUAAACCUCUUUUAUAAGGGACGAACCGCUUUGGGAUGAGACAUGGAGGUAAUGACGGUACCGAAUCAAUAAGCACCGGCUAACUACGUG
RNAcentral lists this ribosomal RNA (497 nucleotides) under uncultured bacterium. Its description in RNAcentral is "partial 16S ribosomal RNA". It matches the Rfam family "Bacterial small subunit ribosomal RNA", at positions 28 to 507 of the family's 1533-position model. The record is from RNAcentral.